UACAGAGGGGGCAAGCGUUGUUCGGAAUUACUGGGCGUAAAGGGCGCGUAGGCGGCCUUCUAAGUCGAACGUGAAAUCCCCGGGCUCAACCCGGGAACUGCGUCCGAUACUGGAAGGCUUGAAUCCGGGAGAGGGAUGCGGAAUUCCAGGUGUAGCGGUGAAAUGCGUAGAUAUCUGGAGGAACACCGGUGGCGAAGGCGGCAUCCUGGACCGGGCAUUGACGCUGAGGCGCGAAAGCCAGGGGAGCAAACGGG
This 254-nucleotide ribosomal RNA is filed under the name uncultured bacterium. RNAcentral's name for it is "partial 16S ribosomal RNA". It matches the Rfam family "Bacterial small subunit ribosomal RNA", at positions 524 to 776 of the family's 1533-position model. The record is from RNAcentral.